Molecule: non-coding RNA, 113 nt
Organism: Acanthosepion pharaonis
Lineage: Eukaryota; Metazoa; Mollusca; Cephalopoda; Sepiida; Sepiidae
Source: the annotation of a GenBank genome assembly
UUACGGUCAUAUCAAGUUGAAACCGCGGUUCCCGUAUUAUCACCAAAGUUAAGAAACGUCGAACCUGGCCAGUACCUAGAUGAGUGACCGCUUGGGAAUACCAGUUGGUGUAA